RNAcentral lists this ribosomal RNA (454 nucleotides) under uncultured organism. RNAcentral's name for it is "partial 16S ribosomal RNA". It matches the Rfam family "Bacterial small subunit ribosomal RNA", at positions 331 to 801 of the family's 1533-position model. The record is from RNAcentral.
GUACACUCCUGCGGGAGGCAGCAGUGGGGAAUAUUGGACAAUGGGCGCAAGCCUGAUCCAGCCAUGCCGCGUGAGUGAUGAAGGCCCUAGGGUUGUAAAGCUCUUUCACCGGUGAAGAUAAUGACGGUAACCGGAGAAGAAGCCCCGGCUAACUUCGUGCCAGCAGCCGCGGUAAUACGAAGGGGGCUAGCGUUGUUCGGAUUUACUGGGCGUAAAGCGCACGUAGGCGGACUAUUAAGUCAGGGGUGAAAUCCCGGGGCUCAACCCCGGAAGUGCCUUUGAUACUGGUAGUCUUGAGUUCGAGAGAGGUGAGUGGAAUUCCGAGUGUAGAGGUGAAAUUCGUAGAUAUUCGGAGGAACACCAGUGGCGAAGGCGGCUCACUGGCUCGAUACUGACGCUGAGGUGCGAAAGCGUGGGGAGCAAACAGGAUUAGAUACCCGAGUAGUCCCAUGAU